AUGGGUAACAUGAUCCCGGUUCACGACGCAUCGGUGAACGUGUCGGCCGACGACAUCUCGGCGUUAGCCGAUUUCGUGCUGGCGGGCUAUUCGGGGUAUUCAGGCAGUCCUCUAGUGGACUCCUUUCUUCAGAACAAAUGCACUCCAAACCUGACGCUUUCAUACUCAUUUGUAGACGGCAAUGAAACUGGGACCCAAGAUGUGGAUUGCACGGAGGGAUUAAUGCUCUGGCGCGACAGUUCGUGGCUCAUCAAUGAUGACCUAUAUAGUGGCUACACGAACAGGAGCAAUGAAUUUGCUGCAGCAUACGACUUCUUAAGCUCUGAUCAGGGCAACUUCAACUUGAUCAUUUCAUAUAACUCAACGUACGAGUUUGAUGCUUAUGAUGGCCUUCCAAUCCCUGUCUUCCAAUUUUUUGGAGGGAAUAAACCUAGACUGCUUGAAGUUCCACGGUUAACAAAUAUGGCUUCAAAUGCAUACCUUCGUUUAAUAGGCAAUGGUCUGAAGAUAUCAUUCGAUUUUGUUAAAGAAAUGCCUAGAGCAGGUCGAUCAUGGAGUACAUACGAUCUAACUUCAAUAAUAGGACCGCUGCCUUAUGUAUUGACUAUCCAGCUCCUUUUCCCGGUAAUUUUGACCAACAUUGUAUACGAGAAGCAAAAGAAGCUUAGGAUUAUGAUGAAGAUGCAUGGUCUUGGUGAUUUGCCAUAUUGGACUAUAUCCUAUUGCUAUUUUAUUCUUCUGUCCAUGCUAUACUUGCUGUCCUUCAUGGUAUUUGGUACUGUGUUUGGUUUUACAUUCUUUCGACUGAAUAGUUAUGGCGUACAGUUUGUGUUCUACUUUGCUUAUAUGAGCUUGCAAAUUUCAUUUGCAUUUCUUAUGGCAACAUGGUUCUCAAAUGUGAGAACAGCUGCUGUGACAGGAUAUUUCUACGUGUUUGGGUCCGGCCUUAUAGCAGAUUAUUUUUUCAAGCCCUAUAUCGAAGACAUUUUCAUCUCAAGAAGCUGGAUUAUACUUUUGGAACUUUUCCCUCCAUUUUCUUUGUACCGCAUUGUCUAUGAGUUUUCUCAAUCUGCAUUGCUCGUAAGUCAGAUUGACCGCACAGGGAUGCAGUGGAGUGACCUGAAUGAUCCCAAUGGAAUGGCGAGUGUUUUAACCAUAAUGAUACUCGAAUGGAUCCUAUUCCUUUUAUUAUCAUUCUAUCUGGAUCACUUUGGUUCCUUUCAAAGUGGAAUUAGAAAAGCAGUAUUACUUCUUCACUCUCGCCGGGCUGGGAACCGUUCUCAAUCUGCUCAACAGCAGACCACACAGAUUCAAGAGUUCGAAGCUUCCGUUGAAAUGGAGAGAACAGAUGUUAUCAAAGAGAGAGAGAUGGUUGGACAGCUCUUACAAGAACCAAAUAGUAGUUAUUCAGUCAUAUGUGACAACCUUAAGAAAGUGUACCCUGGAAAAGAUGGCAAUUCAAAGAAAAUUGCUGUCAGAGAGUUGUCCCUUUCAAUGGCACGUGGGCAGUGCUUUGGUGUUCUUGGUCCAAAUGGUGCUGGAAAAACCACUCUCAUCAACAUGCUCACUGGAUUUACUAAACCUACGUCUGGCACCGCGUACAUCGAAGGAAUGGACAUAAGGUUGGACAUGGACAAAAUUUAUACAGGAAUUGGUGUUUGUCCCCAGCAUGACUUGCUUUGGGAAAAUCUGACUGGCCGAGAGCAUUUGAUGUUCUACGGCAGGCUCAAGAAACUGAAGGGUGCAAAAUUAGCUCAGGCUAUCGAACAAUCUCUGAAAAGUGUGCGUUUGUUUGACGGUGGUGUUCCCGAUAAGCUUGUACAAAAAUACAGCGGUGGCAUGAAACGUCGUCUCAGCGUCGCCAUCUCUCUAAUUGGUGACCCUAAGGUUGUUUAUAUGGAUGAACCAAGUUCUGGCUUAGAUCCGGCAUCAAGGAAAGACCUAUGGAAAGCCGUCAAGUCUGCCAAACAGGACAGGGCCAUAAUUCUCACGACACAUUCAAUGGAAGAAGCUGAAGUUCUGUGCGAUCGGAUAGGAAUAAUCGCGGAUGGUACCUUGCAGUGCAUUGGAAACUCAAGAGAGCUGAAAACCAAGUACGGAGGCUCAUAUGUGCUGACGAUAACGACCAUGGCGGCUGAGGAGGCGGAGGAGGAGGUGGCAAAGCUAGUCCGGUCCAUCUCGCCGGCGGUGAGCAGGGUGUACCGCAUCUCUGGGACGCAGAGGUUUGAGAUGCCGAAGCAGGAGGUGAGUAUAUCAGCGGUGUUCCAUGUCAUGGAGGACGCGAAGAGCAGGAUGACCAUUCUUGCGUGGGGCCUAUCUGAUACGACUCUGGAGGAUGUGUUCAUCAGAGUUGCCAAGGAGAACGAGGCAUCCUCUGUCAUCUGA
This 2385-nucleotide ribosomal RNA is filed under the name Triticum aestivum (bread wheat). RNAcentral describes it as "partial small subunit ribosomal RNA". Lineage: Eukaryota; Viridiplantae; Streptophyta; Magnoliopsida; Poales; Poaceae. The record is from RNAcentral.